This 626-nucleotide ribosomal RNA is filed under the name Oplitis sp. AL5252. Its description in RNAcentral is "eukaryotic LSU rRNA". It matches the Rfam family "Eukaryotic large subunit ribosomal RNA", at positions 669 to 1265 of the family's 3401-position model. The record is from RNAcentral. Lineage: Eukaryota; Metazoa; Arthropoda; Arachnida; Mesostigmata; Oplitidae.
CAGGAGUUAACAUGUACGCAAGUCAUUGGGCGUCCUGUACCCCAAAGGCGAAAUGAAAUGUGAAGUUUACCUCGUGUAAAUGCGACGUGAUCCCUUGUCCAUGUGGCAGGGGCGCAACGUCUGCCCGUCUAAGUGAUUUAUUCACUGGGCGGCGCAAGAGCGUACAUGUUGGCACCCGAAAGAUGGUGAACUAUGCUUGGGCAAGACGAAGCCAGAGGAAACUCUGGUGGAGGUCUGAAGCGAUUCUGACGUGCAAAUCGAUCGUCUGACCUGAGUAUAGGGGCGAAAGACUAAUCGAACCAUCUAGUAGCUGGUUCCCUCCGAAGUUUCCCUCAGGAUAGCUAACACUCGGUUGGAACAGUAUCAUGCGGUAAAGCGAAUGAUUAGAGGAAUUGGGGUCAUAAUGGCCUCAACCUAUUCUCAAACUUUUAAUGCGUGAGAGAACCGCUUACUUAAUUGAAGUGUUGUCAAAAUAUGAGAGUGUUUAGUGGGCCAAUUUUGGUAAGCAGAACUGGCGAUGUGGGAUGAACCAAACGUAGAGUUAAGGUGCCCGACGUGACGCUCAUGAGAACCCAUAAAGGGUGUUGGUUGCUUAAGACAGCAGGUCGGUGGCCAUGGAAGUUGGA